RNAcentral lists this ribosomal RNA (396 nucleotides) under Turdus swalesi swalesi. Its description in RNAcentral is "partial 12S ribosomal RNA". It matches the Rfam family "Bacterial small subunit ribosomal RNA", at positions 794 to 1384 of the family's 1533-position model. Lineage: Eukaryota; Metazoa; Chordata; Aves; Passeriformes; Turdidae. The record is from RNAcentral.
GCCUGGCCCUAAAUCUUGAUGCUCGAUAUUACCUGAGCGUCCGCCCGAGAACUACGAGCACAAACGCUUAAAACUCUAAGGACUUGGCGGUGCUCCAAACCCACCUAGAGGAGCCUGUUCUGUAAUCGAUGAUCCACGAUAUUACCUGACCAUUCCUUGCACGAAGCAGCCUACAUACCGCCGUCGCCAGCCCACCUUUAAUAGACAGCCCAACAGUGGACGCAAUAGCCUAACCCGCUAGCAAGACAGGUCAAGGUAUAGCCCACGGAAUGGAAGCAAUGGGCUACAUUUUCUARAAUAGAACAUACGGAUAAGGGUAUGAAACUGCCCUUGGAAGGCGGAUUUAGCAGUAAAGAGAGACAAUUGAGCUCUCUUUAAGCCGGCUCUGGAGCACGU